Molecule: ribosomal RNA, 429 nt
Filed under: Bacillota bacterium
Lineage: Bacteria; Bacillati; Bacillota
Description: Firmicutes bacterium partial 16S ribosomal RNA
Rfam family: Bacterial small subunit ribosomal RNA
Source: RNAcentral
UAGGGAAUCUUCGGCAAUGGACGGAAGUCUGACCGAGCAACGCCGCGUGAGUGAAGAAGGGUUUCGGAUCGUAAAGCUCUGUUGUUAGAGAAGAACGUUGGUAGGAGUGGAAAAUCUACCAAGUGACGGUAACUAACCAGAAAGGGACGGCUAACUACGUGCCAGCAGCCGCGGUAAUACGUAGGUCCCGAGCGUUGUCCGGAUGUAUUGGGCGUAAAGCGAGCGCAGGCGGUUCUUUAUGUCUGAAGUUAAAGGCAGUGGCUUAACCAUUGUACGCUUUGGAAACUGGAGGACUUGAUUGCAGAAGGGGAGAGUGGAAUUCCAUGUUUACCGUUGAAAUGCGUGGAUAUAUGAAGAAACCCCGGUGGCGAAACCGGCUCUCUGGUCUGUACCUGCCGCUGAGGCUCGAAGGCGUGGGAAGCAAACAGA